Molecule: transfer RNA, 65 nt
Filed under: Candidatus Roizmanbacteria bacterium RIFCSPHIGHO2_01_FULL_38_41
Lineage: Bacteria; Candidatus Roizmaniibacteriota
Description: tRNA-Asn
Rfam family: tRNA
About the family: Transfer RNA (tRNA) molecules are approximately 80 nucleotides in length.
Source: RNAcentral
CCUGUAGCUCAACGGUAGAGCAUUCGACUGUUAAUCGAAGGGUUGCUGGUUCGAAUCCAGCCGGG